This 238-nucleotide ribosomal RNA is filed under the name uncultured bacterium. RNAcentral describes it as "partial 16S ribosomal RNA". It matches the Rfam family "Bacterial small subunit ribosomal RNA", at positions 72 to 334 of the family's 1533-position model. The record is from RNAcentral.
CCCUUUGGGGUCAGUGGCGGACGGGUGAGUAACGCGUAGGUAUCUAUCCUUGGGUGGGGGGACAACCGUGGGAAACUACGGCUAAUACCGCAUGAUAACUGAGGUUUAAAGGCGCAAGUCGCCUGGGGCGGAGCCUGCGUACGAUUAGCUAGUUGGUGGGGUAAAGGCCUACCAAGGCUGUGAUCGUUAGCUGGUCUGAGAGGAUGAUCAGCCACAUUGGGACUGAGACACGGCCCAA